Molecule: ribosomal RNA, 310 nt
Filed under: uncultured Pseudomonas sp.
Lineage: Bacteria; Pseudomonadati; Pseudomonadota; Gammaproteobacteria; Pseudomonadales; Pseudomonadaceae
Description: bacterial SSU rRNA
Rfam family: Bacterial small subunit ribosomal RNA
Source: RNAcentral
GUUGGUUGGUAGUCCCGUAACGAGCGCAACCCUUGUCCUUAGUUACCAGCACGUUAUGGUGGGCACUCUAAGGAGACUGCCGGUGACAAACCGGAGGAAGGUGGGGAUGACGUCAAGUCAUCAUGGCCCUUACGGCCUGGGCUACACACGUGCUACAAUGGUCGGUACAAAGGGUUGCCAAGCCGCGAGGUGGAGCUAAUCCCAUAAAACCGAUCGUAGUCCGGAUCGCAGUCUGCAACUCGACUGCGUGAAGUCGGAAUCGCUAGUAAUCGUGAAUCAGAAUGUCACGGUGAAUACGUUCCCGGGCCUU